GCGUCACUGGAGUAGUGGUUAACUCGUUGCCCUCCCAUGACCAAAAUUAAUAGCACUGGUUCGAACCCGGUGUGACGCA
RNAcentral lists this transfer RNA (79 nucleotides) under Verticillium alfalfae VaMs.102. RNAcentral's name for it is "tRNA-Gly (CCC) (tRNA-Gly-CCC-2-1)". It matches the Rfam family "tRNA". From Rfam's summary of the family: Transfer RNA (tRNA) molecules are approximately 80 nucleotides in length. The record is from RNAcentral. Lineage: Eukaryota; Fungi; Ascomycota; Sordariomycetes; Glomerellales; Plectosphaerellaceae.